CCCUUAGAUGUUCUGGGCCGCACGCGCGCUACACUGAUGCAUUCAACGAGCCUAUCCUUGACCGACAGGUCCGGGUAAUCUUUGAAUCUGCAUCGUGACGGGGAUAGAUUAUUGCAAUUAUUAAUCUUCAACGAGGAAUGCCUAGUAGGCGCAAGUCAUCAGCUUGCGUCGAUUACGUCCCUGCCCUUUGUACACACCGCCCGUCGCUCCUACCGAUUGGGUGUGCUGGUGAAAUGUUCGGAUCGGCCGUUUGUCGCGGUUUCCGCGUCAUGUGGCUGAGAAGUUCAUUAAACCCUCCCACCUAGAGGUAGGAGAAGUCGUAACA
RNAcentral lists this ribosomal RNA (325 nucleotides) under uncultured eukaryote. RNAcentral's name for it is "partial 18S ribosomal RNA". It matches the Rfam family "Eukaryotic small subunit ribosomal RNA", at positions 1470 to 1796 of the family's 1831-position model. The record is from RNAcentral.